GCCGGCGUGGCGGAAUUGGCAGACGCGCUAGACUCAAAAUCUGGUACUCGUAAGAGUGUGUGGGUUCGAGCCCCUCCGCCGGUA
This 84-nucleotide transfer RNA is filed under the name Verrucomicrobiota bacterium. Its description in RNAcentral is "tRNA-Leu". It matches the Rfam family "tRNA". From Rfam's summary of the family: Transfer RNA (tRNA) molecules are approximately 80 nucleotides in length. Their secondary structure includes four short double-helical elements and three loops (D, anti-codon, and T loops). Further hydrogen bonds mediate the characteristic L-shaped molecular structure. tRNAs have two regions of fundamental functional importance: the anti-codon, which is responsible for specific mRNA codon recognition, and the 3' end, to which the tRNAs corresponding amino acid is attached (by aminoacyl-tRNA synthetases). tRNAs cope with the degeneracy of the genetic code in two manners: having more than one tRNA (with a specific anti-codon) for a particular amino acid; and 'wobble' base-pairing, i.e. permitting non-standard base-pairing at the 3rd anti-codon position. The record is from RNAcentral. RNAcentral also lists the same sequence under 3 other names. Lineage: Bacteria; Pseudomonadati; Verrucomicrobiota.